Molecule: unclassified non-coding RNA, 313 nt
Filed under: Hevea brasiliensis (rubber tree)
Lineage: Eukaryota; Viridiplantae; Streptophyta; Magnoliopsida; Malpighiales; Euphorbiaceae
Source: RNAcentral
CUUUGAGAUUCUGGUAGUUCCUGUAAGAACUUAAUGAUGUUGCUAGCACCGAACACGCGAUGAGCAAUUGUGAACUUUGCCGGUUCAGUCGGAGGAAAAUACGGAGCCAAGACGCAUUUCUCAGCGCAUCUUCGCCUGAGAAUCUUACAAGCUGCGCAAGGACUAAGAACCACCGCUGGUGGCAGUGGCGGCGGCGGGGAAGAUGAAGAAGAAGGAGAAGUUGAGUUAUUGUUAGAAUUGGCUGCCUCAGUAUGAUCCAUUUUCUUUCUUAUUGGCUCUUCUUCAGAGAGAAAGAGAGAGGAGAAAGAGUGAG